Molecule: ribosomal RNA, 449 nt
Filed under: uncultured bacterium
Lineage: Bacteria
Description: partial 16S ribosomal RNA
Rfam family: Bacterial small subunit ribosomal RNA
Source: RNAcentral
AACGAACGCUGGCGGCAUGCCUAACACAUGCAAGUCGAACGAGAUCUUCGGGUCUAGUGGCGCACGGGUGCGUAACGCGUGGGAAUCUGCCCUUUGGUUCGGAAUAACAGUUGGAAACGACUGCUAAUACCGGAUGAUGACGAAAGUCCAAAGAUUUAUCGCCAGAGGAUGAGCCCGCGUAGGAUUAGCUAGUUGGUGUGGUAAAGGCGCACCAAGGCGACGAUCCUUAGCUGGCCUGAGAGGAUGAUCAGCCACGCUGGGACUGAGAGACGGCCCAGACUCCUACGGGAGGCAGCAGUGGGGAAUAUUGGACAAUGGGCGAAAGCCUGAUCCAGCAAUGCCGCGUGAGUGAUGAAGGCCUUAGGGUUGUAAAGCUCUUUUACCCGGGAUGAUAAUGACAGUACCGGGAGAAUAAGCUCCGGCUAACUCCGUGCCAGCCGCCGCCGUAA